GGCGAACGCUGGCGGCGUGCCUAAUACAUGCAAGUAGAACGCUGAAGAGAGGAGCUUCCUCUUCUUGGAUGAGUUGCGAACGGGUGAGUAACGCGUAGGUAACCUGCCUUGUAGCGGGGGAUAACUAUUGGAAACGAUAGCUAAUACCGCAUAACAAUGGAUGACACAUGUCAUUUAUUUGAAAGGGGCAAUUGCUCCACUACAAGAUGGACCUGCGUUGUAUUAGCUAGUAGGUGAGGUAAUGGCUCACCUAGGCGACGAUACAUAGCCGACCUGAGAGGGUGAUCGGCCACACUGGGACUGAGACACGGCCCAGACUCCUACGGGAGGCAGCAGUAGGGAAUCUUCGGCAAUGGGGGCAACCCUGACCGAGCAACGCCGCGUGAGUGAAGAAGGGUUUCGGAUCGUAAAGCUCUGUUGUAAGUCAAGAACGGGUGUGAGAGUGGAAAGUUCACACUGUGACGGUAGCUUACCAGAAAGGGACGGCUAACUACGUG
Molecule: ribosomal RNA, 497 nt
Filed under: uncultured bacterium
Lineage: Bacteria
Description: partial 16S ribosomal RNA
Rfam family: Bacterial small subunit ribosomal RNA
Source: RNAcentral